RNAcentral lists this long non-coding RNA (1359 nucleotides) under Mus musculus (house mouse). RNAcentral's name for it is "long non-coding RNA chrX:86018873-86020232". The record is from RNAcentral. Lineage: Eukaryota; Metazoa; Chordata; Mammalia; Rodentia; Muridae.
AAUAAGCAGCCUCAAGAAGUGGGAGGUGGGAGACCCUCUAGAAAGAGACCCAGGAGGUGAGAAACUCUCAGGACUCAUUGGAGGUAACCUUAGCCAAAAAUGCCCAACACUGGGGAGAGGGAACUUGAAGAAUCUACCUCCAAUAUAUAGACAGGCUCUCAAGUGUAGGGACAGGGUUACUAACCCACAAUGAAAAUUACUGACUCAGAAUUUUUCCUGUCUAAAAGAACUGCAGGGACAAAAAUAGAGACUGAAGGGAAGAAGGUCCAGUAACAGCCCCAAAUUGAGAUCCACCUCAAGAGGAGGCUCUAAGGCAUGACUAUUACUGAUGCUAUGAUGUGCUUACAGACAGGAGCCUGACAUAGCUGUCUUCUGAGAGGCCCUACCAGCAGCUGACUGAGACAGAUGCAGAUACUUACACCCAACCAUCGGACUGAAGUCGGGGACCCCUAUAGUUGAAUUGGGGAAGGACUGAAGAAGCUGAGUAGAGAAGGCGACCCCAUAGGAAGACCAACAGACUCAGCUAACCCAGACUCUAGGGAGCUCCCAGAGACUGAGCCACCAACCAGGAAAAUACCUGGGCUGGUCUGAGGUCCCUGGCACAAAUUAGCAGAGAUCUGCAAGGUCUGGAUUUUCACAGAGGAAAGAUACAAGCUCAGAUUGGAGGUGGCUGGACCAGAGGGGCAGGGCAACUUGAAGGUUUGUGAGACCAGAUGAUGCCAACACAAGCUCCAGAUUCCAGUACAGAACUGAUUUGGUGUUUGCCCUGAUGAGUUUUAAUCAUGUUUUGGUCCAAUCAUCUCUGACUAUUCUUUUCAGUACCUUUCUGUAAUGGGAAUAUUUACUCUAUGCCAUUAUAUUGUGGCACAUUGGAAGUAUGUAGUUUGAUUUUUUUUUCCUAAAAAUUUACUGGUGGCUUACAGUUAAAAGAUUGCUUUGAAACUUAGAAGAGCUUUGAACUUACAGCAAAGCUAGUGCUCCUACCAGAGUGAACUGCACUGUCAAACUCUGAGCCAGAAGAAAUCCUUCAGUGUGCUGCUUUUCUCAAGGGUUUCGUAGCAUUUAUAACAAAAGAAACGAAUUCAGGAGCUAAGGAUGGCACAGAUGACAGUGUGUGGUCAUUCAGAGAUGCAUCAAUCAUGUAUUCCUUUGUUAUUGUUUUAAUGGGGGAAUUCUUAAUUGCAAAGGGUGGUUAACAUAAAUUUGAUCAUUAUAGGUAAGGUUAUUUAGAAGUAAGAUAACUCCAGAGAGUUAAAUGUCUUUUUUUCAAAUGUAUUUACAAAAUCAUAAUUCUGGUAUAUUUUAAAUAAAUCUAUCACAUUAUUAUUUUUAACUGAAUAAAGAUUAUAUUUGAAAUUU